AACGCACCUUGCGCCCUUUGGUAUUCCGAAGGGCAUGCCUGUUUGAGUGUCAUUAAAUUCUCAACCUUGCUCGCUUUUACCGGCUUGAGUUAGGCUUGGAUGUGAGGGCUUUGCUGGCUUCCUUCAGUGGAUGGUCUGCUCCCUUUAAAUGCAUUAGUGGGAUCUCUUGUGGACCGUCACUUGGUGUGAUAAUUAUCUACGCCAUCUUGACUUUGAAGCAAAACUUAUGGGAACCCGCUCAUAACCGUCUUCGGACAAUCUUUGACUUUUGACCUCAAAUCAGGUAGGACUACCCGCUGAACUUAA
Molecule: unclassified non-coding RNA, 306 nt
Filed under: uncultured fungus
Lineage: Eukaryota; Fungi
Description: partial contains 5.8S ribosomal RNA, internal transcribed spacer 2, and large subunit ribosomal RNA
Rfam family: 5.8S ribosomal RNA (bases 1-52)
Source: RNAcentral